RNAcentral lists this ribosomal RNA (447 nucleotides) under uncultured bacterium. Its description in RNAcentral is "bacterial SSU rRNA". It matches the Rfam family "Bacterial small subunit ribosomal RNA", at positions 355 to 825 of the family's 1533-position model. The record is from RNAcentral.
UGGGGAAUUUUGGACAAUGGGCGAAAGCCUGACCCAGCAACGCCGCGUGAAGGAUGAAGUAUUUCGGUAUGUAAACUUCGAAAGAAUAGGAAGAAUAAAUGACGGUACUAUUUAUAAGGUCCGGCUAACUACGUGCCAGCAGCCGCGGUAAUACGUAGGGACCAAGCGUUGUUCGGAUUUACUGGGCGUAAAGGGCGCGUAGGCGGCAAUUCAAGUCAUCUGUGAAAUCUCCGGGCUUAACUCGGAACGGUCAGAUGAUACUGCUUUGCUAGAGUGCAGAAGGGGCAAUCGGAAUUCUUGGUGUAGCGGUGAAAUGCGUAGAUAUCAAGAGGAACACCUGAGGUGAAGACGGGUUGCUGGGCUGACACUGACGCUGAGGCGCGAAAGCCAGGGGAGCAAACGGGAUUAGAUACCCCAGUAGUCCCUGAGCGGGCUGGCAAGGCGCAU